GGCGGAGUAGCUCAGCUGGCUAGAGCAGAGGAAUCAUAAUCCUCGUGUCGGGGGUUCGAGUCCCUCCUCCGCUACCA
This 77-nucleotide transfer RNA is filed under the name Methylocella sp. RNAcentral describes it as "tRNA-Met". It matches the Rfam family "tRNA". Rfam says of the family: Transfer RNA (tRNA) molecules are approximately 80 nucleotides in length. Lineage: Bacteria; Pseudomonadati; Pseudomonadota; Alphaproteobacteria; Hyphomicrobiales; Beijerinckiaceae. The record is from RNAcentral. RNAcentral also lists the same sequence under 4 other names.